UGGGGAAUUUUGCGCAAUGGGGGAAACCCUGACGCAGCAACGCCGCGUGCGGGAAGAAGGCCUUCGGGUUGUAAACCGCUUUCAGCAGGGAAUACAGUGAAGGUACCUGCAGAAGAAGCUCCGGCUAACUACGUGCCAGCAGCCGCGGUAAUACGUAGGGAGCGAGCGUUAUCCGGAAUCAUUGGGCGUAAAGCGCGCGUAGGCGGCUCGCCAAGCGGGUGUCUCAAACCCGGGGGCUCAACCUCCGGCCGGACCCCGAACUGGCGGGCUCGAGUGCGGUAGAGGAAGGUGGAAUUCCCAGUGUAGCGGUGGAAUGCGCAGAUAUUGGGAAGAACACCGAUGGCGAAGGCAGCCUUCUGGGCCGCCACUGACGCUGAGGCGCGAAAGCUAGGGGAGCGAACA
This 402-nucleotide ribosomal RNA is filed under the name uncultured bacterium. RNAcentral's name for it is "bacterial SSU rRNA". It matches the Rfam family "Bacterial small subunit ribosomal RNA", at positions 355 to 774 of the family's 1533-position model. The record is from RNAcentral.